GUGAGGAAUAUUGCGCAAUGGCCGAAAGGCUGACGCAGCGACGCCGCGUGGAGGAUGAAGUCCGUUAGGAUGUAAACUCCUUUUGCAGGGGAUGAAUGUUCCGCUUUAUGCGGACUUGACCGUACCCUGCGAAUAAGGAUCGGCCAACUACGUGCCAGCAGCCGCGGUAAUACGUAGGAUCCAAGCGUUGUCCGGAUUUACUGGGUGUAAAGGGCGUGUAGGUGGAUUUUUAAGUCGGUGGUGAAAUCCUGCAGCUCAACUGCAGAAUUGCCUCCGAUACUGGAAAUCUUGAGUGCGGCAGAGGGAGACGGAAUUCAUGGUGUAGCGGUGAAAUGUGUAGAUAUCAUGAAGAACACCGGUUGCGAAGGCGGUCUCCUGGUCCGUUACUGACACUGAGGCGCGAAAGCGUGGGGAGCAAACAGGAUUAGAAACCCUAGUAGUCC
RNAcentral lists this ribosomal RNA (443 nucleotides) under uncultured bacterium. RNAcentral describes it as "bacterial SSU rRNA". It matches the Rfam family "Bacterial small subunit ribosomal RNA", at positions 354 to 796 of the family's 1533-position model. The record is from RNAcentral.